RNAcentral lists this ribosomal RNA (253 nucleotides) under uncultured bacterium. Its description in RNAcentral is "partial 16S ribosomal RNA". It matches the Rfam family "Bacterial small subunit ribosomal RNA", at positions 524 to 776 of the family's 1533-position model. The record is from RNAcentral.
UACAGAGGUCUCAAGCGUUGUUCGGAUUCAUUGGGCGUAAAGGGUGCGUAGGCGGCGCGGUAAGUCGGGUGUGAAAUUUCGAGGCUUAACUUCGAAACUGCAUUCGAUACUGCCGUGCUUGAGGACUGGAGAGGAGACUGGAAUUUACGGUGUAGCGGUGAAAUGCGUAGAUAUCUGGAGGAAUACCGGUGGCGAAGGCGGCAUCCUGGACCGACAUUGACGCUGAGGAGCGAAAGCCAGGGGAGCAAACAGG